This 1353-nucleotide ribosomal RNA is filed under the name uncultured bacterium. RNAcentral describes it as "bacterial SSU rRNA". It matches the Rfam family "Bacterial small subunit ribosomal RNA", at positions 28 to 1381 of the family's 1533-position model. The record is from RNAcentral.
AUUGAACGCUGGCGGCAUGCCUUACACAUGCAAGUCGAACGGCAGCACGGAGCUUGCUCUGGUGGCGAGUGGCGAACGGGUGAGUAAUAUAUCGGAACGUACCCUGGAGUGGGGGAUAACGUAGCGAAAGUUACGCUAAUACCGCAUACGAUCUACGGAUGAAAGUGGGGGAUCGCAAGACCUCAUGCUCGUGGAGCGGCCGAUAUCUGAUUAGCUAGUUGGUAGGGUAAAAGCCUACCAAGGCAUCGAUCAGUAGCUGGUCUGAGAGGACGACCAGCCACACUGGAACUGAGACACGGUCCAGACUCCUACGGGAGGCAGCAGUGGGGAAUUUUGGACAAUGGGCGAAAGCCUGAUCCAGCAAUGCCGCGUGAGUGAAGAAGGCCUUCGGGUUGUAAAGCUCUUUUGUCAGGGAAGAAACGGUGAGGGCUAAUAUCCCUUGCUAAUGACGGUACCUGAAGAAUAAGCACCGGCUAACUACGUGCCAGCAGCCGCGGUAAUACGUAGGGUGCAAGCGUUAAUCGGAAUUACUGGGCGUAAAGCGUGCGCAGGCGGUUUUGUAAGUCUGAUGUGAAAUCCCCGGGCUCAACCUGGGAACUGCAUUGGAGACUGCAAGGCUAGAAUCUGGCAGAGGGGGGCAGAAUUCCACGUGUAGCAGUGAAAUGCGUAGAUAUGUGGAGGAACACCGAUGGGCGAAGGCAGCCCCCUGGGUCAAGAUUGACGCUCAUGCACGAAAGCGUGGGGAGCAAACAGGAUUAGAUACCCUGGUAGUCCACGCCCUAAACGAUGUCUACUAGUUGUCGGGUCUUAAUUGACUUGGUAACGCAGCUAACGCGUGAAGUAGACCGCCUGGGGAGUACGGUCGCAAGAUUAAAACUCAAAGGAAUUGACGGGGACCCGCACAAGCGGUGGAUGAUGUGGAUUAAUUCGAUGCAACGCGAAAAACCUUACCUACCCUUGACAUGGCUGGAAUCCCCGAGAGAUUGGGGAGUGCUCGAAAGAGAACCAGUACACAGGUGCUGCAUGGCUGUCGUCAGCUCGUGUCGUGAGAUGUUGGGUUAAGUCCCGCAACGAGCGCAACCCUUGUCAUUAGUUGCUACGAAAGGGCACUCUAAUGAGACUGCCGGUGACAAACCGGAGGAAGGUGGGGAUGACGUCAAGUCCUCAUGGCCCUUAUGGGUAGGGCUUCACACGUCAUACAAUGGUACAUACAGAGCGCCGCCAACCCGCGAGGGGGAGCUAAUCGCAGAAAGUGUAUCGUAGUCCGGAUUGUAGUCUGCAACUCGACUGCAUGAAGUUGGAAUCGCUAGUAAUCGCGGAUCAGCAUGUCGCGGUGAAUACGUUCCCGGGUCU